ACAUCAAACUCCCAAAGCUUCUGGAACAGUGGUGUCCAAACUUAUUCUGGGGACACCUAGAAAGGUCUCUAGUACCCUAGGGAGAUUCUGUGAAUAUUUAUAAAAGAGGUAAUGUCAGUUUAUCUAACAAAACCUAAAUCCGAGUGUCCUAAAGGAGUGGAGCCUCUCUGUGUGUACUGGGAGUGAGUAACGAGGAGACAGGUGAUGAUUCAAAGUCAAGCAAACCCACUUUCUCCUGGUGGUCAGUGCUGAGUAAGCAUGCUCCAGCCCCCUCCCACUGCUCUCCUGUUUAGUUAGAGGCUCCCAAAGAGGGCCAACAGCUGCGAGGCUCUUCAUUAGAGCCUUGAAAUUUGAAACAACAGAUCAAAGUCUGAGGAGCCAUAUUGAGCUGUGGGGAACGCUUGCUCGCUGACUGAGGUCAGGAAAGGUCCAAACCCCUAGCAUUCCAGGGCUUUGGGCUAGUCCCCUGCCACUGUGGAGGAGGGGGCUGCAGCCGUGGGUGCGAGGCCACACGAGGUGCGUGGCAGAGUCGUGGAACCAAAGAGGGCUGUGUCCAGAGAGGAUAACAGUGACAAAUAUUUUUGCUGGCUGCAUUAAAGAAGAUACCGAAGAACAUCAUCCAAGAGGUUCUUUUGAACACUGUGAGAAAACUGAAGUGUCUGAAAGCAUGACUGACUGAAGCAGUGGCGAGAAGAAGGCAUCUAUGUUUUUGUAACUGCUGAUGGCCAUGACUCCAUACUGUCAAAAGAACAUGAACAAGGCUUCCUAAGGCCCACCUGACUUCACACUCCAGAAUGUCUGGCUCUAGGCAUUCUUAGUGCAUACGAUCUCUUCUGGAGAAAAGGCUCACUCUGAGGUACACUUUGAGAGAAAUGGGUUCAGUAGAGUCUUCCAAACAAACAAAUCAAGAAACUUAAAGUGGGAAUAGACAAGUAGGGGCAUUAGAACCCUGAAGAGAGAGGCUUUUUGCACCUGUAGCAUACACGAGGCAACGAUAAAGGCUGAAGCAAGAAACCAGGUGUGACCACUUUCCAGUGAAUUUGGGUUGAAAAAUUGCUAUUCAUGUGAAGUCCAGCAAUGCCGCAGAACUAGUCUCUGAAACAUUCAUCAGCUUAAUCCAGUGUGUAUGAUGUUCUUCUGGUUUUCAUUAGCAUUUUCCUACUUCGAAAUAAGUAGGUGCAUUGUUCCUAGAAAGUGGAGAGUACUCAAUGAGACACUCCUUGUGUGGGAGCUGAAGCGGCUGCCAUGAGGUUAUGGAGAAUGUCUUUCACAUCUUUCUAUCCCUAGCACUAGCACAGUGCCUAGCAUAGGAAGGAGCUCAAAAAGUGUUCGUAGAAUUAUCUUCAAACUUUAGUUGUCCUUCCCAAAGAAGCUUCUCUUGCCCACACUCGGCCGCAAGCAGGUCCGCUCCUAGAAAUAACAUUUAUUCUAAGGACCUCUACGCAGAGAGUCUUGGGAAGCGGUUCCCCUCCCUCAUUACCUCGUUACUCCUCCCCUCUGUAGCCUUUGAAAGAACAGGCACGCCACGUGAUUCCCUCCUUUAUCCCACCUCCGAGAAAACCUGGUUGAUAAUGGGCAGGAGCAUAGGCCAACCAUAAGACUUUACUUUCUCUUCCAUCCAAUAAAAAG
Bos taurus (domestic cattle) is the source of this 1629-nucleotide long non-coding RNA. The record is from Ensembl. NCBI's taxonomy places the organism in Eukaryota, Metazoa, Chordata, Mammalia, Artiodactyla, Bovidae.